This 200-nucleotide ribosomal RNA is filed under the name uncultured bacterium. Its description in RNAcentral is "partial 16S ribosomal RNA". It matches the Rfam family "Bacterial small subunit ribosomal RNA", at positions 335 to 527 of the family's 1533-position model. The record is from RNAcentral.
ACUCCUACGGGAGGCAGCAGUGGGGAAUAUCGGACAAUGGGCGAAAGCCUGAUCCAGCCAUGCCGCGUGUGUGAAGAAGGUCUUCGGAUUGUAAAGCACUUUAAGUUGGGAGGAAGGGCAGUAAGAUAAUACCUUGCUGUUUUGACGUUACCGACAGAAUAAGCACCGGCUAACUCUGUGCCAGCAGCCGCGGUAAUACA